UUGUUUUUCUUGUGAAGGCAACGAUUUGUGGCCGUUUCAAUCUGACCCACCUCUUCCUGUACUCUGCUUUUCUAGUUUCUGGGUUUUGUAGAAACUUAAAAAUAAAUCUUGUCAUGCAUUCCCUUUUCUCUGGCUGAGCACAGUAAAAACAACCAGCAUAUGGAAAAGUAAUUCAAAUAAUUCAUCAGAUGUUUUCCCUUCUGGUUUGGAUAAGAAUGGAUGGUUUAGAAAUAUGGUGCUGCUUUUGUGGAUUAGAAAUGUGCUACUGGUGUUUUUUCAUGUGCCUUUACUCUCGUCGGCUGGUCCAAUACAGGUUUUGUUUCAUAUUCGUGGGCAUUGUCUUUUUUUAAGCCAAGUUCUUAUGAAAAAUAGUUGGCUGUACUUGGCAAGUACUAAAAUUUUGCCUUCUGAUGGGAGCCUGUUCGUUGAAGUUUGAUGCGAUGACCUUUCUAUAAAUCAUAUUUGGUUUUAGAUAUUACAGAAACAAUUUAAAGUAUGCAGGCUUGUAAUUUGAUAGAAGCCCAUUUAGCCUAGCGCAUUUGAUAAAGCUUAUUUAGUCCAGCCCAAUUCAACCAAAUAAACAGAAUUGUAUCCAACUAAAUUUCUUCGAUCGGUUUGAACCGGUUCUUGAAAAUAGUUGGUUCGGUUUCAGUUUCUAUUUUAGGAAACUGAUUUGAAUCGGUUCAGUUUCUAUUUUAGGAAACCGAUUUAAAUCGUUUCGGUUUCAAGAAUAACUCUAAACCGACUGCGAAGGAAAGUUGCGGCUUUUAAUACAAUUCAUCUCUCCUGGUCCUUCUUCCUCCCCCCUCUGCUUCUCUUUCUCUUCUACUUCUUCUCUAGGUCAUGAUGGCCGCCACUCUCUCUUAGCCUUCUAGUUCAAGACCUCCGGUCUAGGAGCUCCAACCAGCGCCCCCUCCCGAUCGGCCAACAAGGUGGCUAAGAGAAAGUGUCCUCGGAUCACGAUUUUUUCAGCUUAGUUUUGCCUCCCUGAAGCAUACAACUCCAAAUUGAAUGCUGAAUUGGUGGUAAAGAACCCAAUUUUAUCAUUUACUGAAGGUCUGCAAGCUAAUCCCUUUCCUCUUCUUUUCUUUAUAGAUUAAACCCUAGUUCUGAAAAUUUGGUGUUUGUAUCUAAUGUCAAGACAUUUUGAGCAAACUUCUAGUUUUUUGAUAAAUUCGACUUUGGCUUUGUUUGGUAGCUUGGCUGGUUGGUUCGCAUAUGGAACUGUAUUGUAUAAAUGGUUAGCACUGAUGCUUUUUGAGCUUCAAUGUCUCUGGUUUUUAAGUGCACAUUUAGAUAUGUAGAGAUGAAGUUGGUGAAGCCAAUUGAGUUGUUUCAAAAGUUUCUCAAGUCGGGCUCUAAGGAGCAAGGCCGGCUGCUUGGACUAGAUGUUGGGCAAAAAUAUGUUGGUUUGGCUGUCUCAGAUACUUGUAACAAAAUUGCGUCACCUUUAAGUGUCUUGGUCAGGAAGAAAACAAACAUCGAUUUGAUGGCCAGAGAUCUUCAAAUGUUGGUUUCUCAACUUUCUCUCAUUGGCUUUGUUGUUGGUUACCCCUUCAGUUUACAGGGUCAAUCUAGUGUAGAGGCUGUGCAAGUGAAGCUUUUUAUGGAGGAACUUCGCAAAACAGGGAGACUUGAUGGCUUGUGUUAUACAUACUGGAAUGAAAAUUAUACCUCAAAGUGUGUAGAAGCCCUGUUAGAUCCUUUGAAUCUACAUCCAGUAGAGUCCAAGACAAUCAUGGACAAAUUCGCUGCUGUUGGUAUACUCCAGUUCAGAUGGAAGAUUUGCCAACUCUGCAAAGAUAACCAUAUGCAUUUAUUAGACAAAUAUGCUGGAUUUCUUUGAGACUGAACGGAGGAUAGUUAAGCACAGUGGAGUAUGAUUGUGACCAGGAUUUGUGGCUGGUGGAUUGACAGGGAUAUCUCGAUGACAUGAAUAGGAAUCUGAAGUCAGAAGACAUGCCUAGAGAAUGAUGCAAUGGGUCAGAAGCAGAUAGGAAUGGUGGAUGGAAAAUGAGUAGGUUGGAAUGGUCGUUGCAGCAAGAAUUCCGACAAAACAGAAAUCAUCUUUCUGAUGGAUUUCAUGUCCGAAAAUUUUCUGAAUAACAACCUUCCUGAUUCCUCCAUUUCUUGUUUCCACUGCCUCGUCUUCUAAGCUGAUUUUUUCCCACUGUUUUAGAUACGAGAUGGAUUUGGUGGCCUAGCAUUCCUGACAGCCUUGAAGUUUGUUAUUUUAUCAAAAAUCAAUCCCGAGGAAAACCAGUGUUGCUGAAUUUUCAAAACUCAUCUCGAGUGCCAAGUGUGGCUCUAAAUUUUGACCAUCUGCUCAUCUGCUAUUGCAUCUUCAUUUUUCUUAUUUUUGUUUUUGGUUAAGCCAUUUUAGCAUGGAGCCCAAAAUUUUCGGAAAGAAACAUGACUGAUGUGCAACUCCUAUUAUGAGGGAUUUGGCAGGCUUCAUUGCAGGUUAAUUAUAAAGUUUGUGAAUGCCUUCCGGGAAGCAAACCAUGUUGCUGAUUGUCAACAACGCAAGGACAAUGGCUUGAUGCUCUGUUAUCUUGAUGGAAACCCGAGAAUAUUAUUUGGGAUAGCAGUAGAUCCGAUCUCCCUCUUGCAAAGGGAUCUAUAUAAUGUUUAUGGAAUUCAAUGUCUUCUUUCAUGGAACCUAGUGAAAUAAAAACUGCAUAUUUCCA
Non-coding RNA from Phoenix dactylifera (date palm), 2690 nucleotides. NCBI's taxonomy places the organism in Eukaryota, Viridiplantae, Streptophyta, Magnoliopsida, Arecales, Arecaceae. The record is from RefSeq and is a predicted model, not a curated record.